This 468-nucleotide ribosomal RNA is filed under the name uncultured bacterium. RNAcentral's name for it is "partial 16S ribosomal RNA". It matches the Rfam family "Bacterial small subunit ribosomal RNA", at positions 28 to 507 of the family's 1533-position model. The record is from RNAcentral.
GACGAACGCUGGCGGCGUGCUUAACACAUGCAAGUCGAACGGAAAGGCCCUGCUUUUGUGGGGUGCUCGAGUGGCGAACGGGUGAGUAACACGUGAGUAACCUGCCCUUGACUUUGGGAUAACUUCAGGAAACUGGGGCUAAUACCGGAUAGGAGCUCCUGCUGCAUGGUGGGGGUUGGAAAGUUUCGGCGGUUGGGGAUGGACUCGCGGCUUAUCAGCUUGUUGGUGGGGUAGUGGCUUACCAAGGCUUUGACGGGUAGCCGGCCUGAGAGGGUGACCGGCCAAAAUGGGAAUGAGGAUAGGGCCAGAAUCCUAAGGGUUGCAGGAGGUGGGAAAAAUGGAACAAGGGGGGAAGGCCUAAGGAGGAACGGCGGGGGGGGGAUGAAGGCCUUCGGGUUGUAAACCGCUUUCGCCUGUGACGAAGCGUGAGUGACGGUAAUGGGUAAAGAAGCACCGGCUAACUACGUG